This 497-nucleotide ribosomal RNA is filed under the name uncultured bacterium. RNAcentral describes it as "partial 16S ribosomal RNA". It matches the Rfam family "Bacterial small subunit ribosomal RNA", at positions 28 to 507 of the family's 1533-position model. The record is from RNAcentral.
GAUGAACGCUGGCGGCGUGCCUAAUACAUGCAAGUCGAGCGAACGGACGAGAAGCUUGCUUCUCUGAUGUUAGCGGCGGACGGGUGAGUAACACGUGGAUAACCUACCUAUAAGACUGGGAUAACUUCGGGAACCCGGAGCUAAUACCGGAUAAUAUUUUGAACCGCAUGGUUCAAAAUGGAAAGACGGUCUUGCUGUCACUUAUAGAUGGAUCCGCGCUGCAUUAGCUAGUUGGUAAGGUAACGGCUUACCAAGGCAACGAUGCAUAGCCGACCUGAGAGGGUGAUCGGCCACACUGGAACUGAGACACGGUCCAGACUCCUACGGGAGGCAGCAGUAGGGAAUCUUCCGCAAUGGGCGAAAGCCUGACGGAGCAACGCCGCGUGAGUGAUGAAGGUCUUCGGAUCGUAAAACUCUGUUAUUAGGGAAGAACAUAUGUGUAAGUAACUGUGCACAUCUUGACGGUACCUAAUCAGAAAGCCACGGCUAACUACGUG